GGAGUAGCUCAAUGGCAGAGUGUCUGCCUUGCAGGCAAAAGGUCCCAGGUUCAAGACUCCGUUGCCCUGUUUUGACCA
Podarcis lilfordi (Lilford's wall lizard) is the source of this 78-nucleotide non-coding RNA. The record is from the annotation of a GenBank genome assembly. NCBI's taxonomy places the organism in Eukaryota, Metazoa, Chordata, Lepidosauria, Squamata, Lacertidae.